Molecule: long non-coding RNA, 1715 nt
Filed under: Parus major (Great Tit)
Lineage: Eukaryota; Metazoa; Chordata; Aves; Passeriformes; Paridae
Description: lncRNA (ENSPMJG00000006917.1)
Source: RNAcentral
GAGCUCUGUGAAGCUGGAAGGAAUUCUCCACCCAGCACAGCUGUGAAGGUAUUGAUCUGCCUCUCCUGGGAGAAGCCAAACUUGUUCAUUUUGGGAUAGAUCUCAUACCAGGAGGCGGUAGCCAAAUUGGAGGGGCUACAAAGAACAGCUGCAGUGACUGACAUGAAGGAAUUGGGCAAUGGCAGAAGAUUACAAGAAUUAAAGCUGUGAGCCUGACUAAGUGAUGAUUAAAGAAAGCCAAGAAGAUGCAGCUCAGUACAAAAUGGCUGCAUGGGGAUAACCCACAGAAAUGGGUUUGGAAUCUGUGCAGAGGCUGAGCUGUGGAGAGUCUUUCAGGUUUAAGGAUGCUUCUCUCACAGAUGUGGGGUGUGUUAUUAAAAACCCCCCGCUGAAGCUUGGCAGCAGACCUGGUGAGGAGUGCUCAAGUCACCUGCAGUGGGUGGAGAGCAAUGUGGAGAACAGCUUCUCCAGCCCCUUUUCCAGCCCUGAGAGUGCCAGUGGAUGCUGCUGGGAGUCUUUGCUGCAAAAUGCUGCUGCUGCCGCUUCUGCUCCGAUGCUUCACCACUCCCCUGCUGACCCACUCCUGCUUUGGCAGAAGAAAACUCGGCAAAACUUGGCUUUUCCACCACAAAAGCACAAACUGCAGGCUGUGUGUGCUCUGCUCCGUGAGUUCACUGCCACACUGGUGUCUCCAGUCACAGAUUCCUCGCUCAUGUGGUCUGUCGGUUUUGGAGCAUCUUCUCGAUCUGCUUUUGGGUCUGAGCACAUCAGUGAGGAAGAUGAAGGGGGAAAAGAAAAGAUCAUUUGUGAUGAAGCACAGAGUGAGCACACAGAUUGGGGCAGACUGCAUCUCGCUGCUUGCAUGCAGUACUAUUCCCACGAGGCAGCUGCAAUCCUGGCAAUUAAAUCAGGAAGGAUGCGUUGGGGAAAACCCCCGUGAUGGCGUCUGAGGAUGCUGAUUAAAUGUGCACAGCCUGGUGAGCCCACGUGGAACAAAAGGCUGCGUGGCUGAGCCUGACAGACUUGCUGUGUCCUGGGCAAAAAGAAUUCUGGGGUUUUAUUAAACACUUUGAAGUAGAUACCUGAGGAAGGAAAAGCUUUCUGCAGACACACACUCAGCUGUGCAGCCCACACAGCUCCCAGCUUUUACAGUCAGAACGUGGAGCAUCGGUUCCAUCCCAACCUCCAGCGCUGGUGUGGCAGGAGGGGUAACAGGUUCCUUUGAGCAGGAACCUGCUCUGACCGCGGCAGCAACAUCAAAUAUCACCCAGGGAAUGAUCAUUUCCAUGGCUGCACUGUGGGAUCCGACAGAGGAAGCCCUGCAAGUGGCACACGUUGCUAAAUCAAAAAGCCAGCUCAGGUCAGGGUUGGGCUGGCUCUGAACUUGUCCUGCAGUUGCUGAUGGUGGGAGAUGUGAACAAUGCCUGAGGUCUGUCCUGGAAGAGAGAGACAGGGGGAUUUAUAAAGCAAAUCUGCUCUCAAGGACUGGCCUGCCGUGGAUUUUCCUCUGAGCAAACAACCCCGCUCCUUCCCGGGCACACUGACCACAUUCAGCUGGGCUCGAUUGUUUUGUGUUCCCAUCGCUGUUCAGAUUUCAAUCCUGUCGUCCCCAGGAGUCUUUCCAGACUUGGGCUGUGUUUCUCUGCCUGUAGAAAUGUCACUUCAUCCUAGAAAAUGUCACUAGGAUUGUUAUUUAAACAGUAAUAGGGUUAAAG